UCUUUGACGACAGCUUCGAGAUCCCCACGUU
This 31-nucleotide non-coding RNA is filed under the name Homo sapiens (human). The record is from RNAcentral. Lineage: Eukaryota; Metazoa; Chordata; Mammalia; Primates; Hominidae.